This 250-nucleotide ribosomal RNA is filed under the name uncultured Wohlfahrtiimonas sp. RNAcentral describes it as "partial 16S ribosomal RNA". It matches the Rfam family "Bacterial small subunit ribosomal RNA", at positions 524 to 773 of the family's 1533-position model. The record is from RNAcentral. Lineage: Bacteria; Pseudomonadati; Pseudomonadota; Gammaproteobacteria; Cardiobacteriales; Ignatzschineriaceae.
UACGGGGGGUGCAAGCGUUAAUCGGAAUUACUGGGCGUAAAGGGCGCGUAGGCGGCUACUUAAGUUAGAUGUGAAAGCCCCGGGCUUAACCUGGGAAUUGCAUUUAAUACUGGGUAGCUAGAGUGUGGUAGAGAGUAGCGGAAUUUCUGGUGUAGCGGUGAAAUGCGUAGAUAUCAGAAGGAACACCAAUGGCGAAGGCAGCUACUUGGGCCAACACUGACGCUGAGGCGCGAAAGCGUGGGGAGCAAAC